This is a long non-coding RNA of Drosophila teissieri, 518 nucleotides long. RefSeq lists it as uncharacterized. The transcript is spliced from 2 exons. Lineage: Eukaryota; Metazoa; Arthropoda; Insecta; Diptera; Drosophilidae. The record is from RefSeq and is a predicted model, not a curated record.
UUGCCAUGACAAGCCCCCAGGCCCCGGGUCCUAGUUCCACUCCUCUCCGUUCAGUUCUGCGCUGAAAACCCCCUUCUUUUUUGCCAUAUUUUCCAGCAUUUUCCACCUCCUAUCUCAACCAUCAACUCUUGUUACAACAUUUCAAUUAAAAGUUAAACGUGCACGUAAUUAUGCGGACUACAAGGAAAAUGUAGCCCAGAAAUCAGCAUGUGUGACCAAAAGAGAUUCGGAACAAAAGGAAGCGGAGUGGAUUGAACAGCGAUUAGGGCAAGCAAACACAGGAAUUAUGUCAAAAUCAACAAGAGGGAAACUGGGGGAAACAAAGAAGAGAGGAGACUGGAAACAAGAAGCCCAGGCUUGGGCUUGGGGCUUGGGGCUGAGCACAAAGCCCCACAAAUCGAGGUCGGGAAUUGAUAACAGCGGAGCAGCUGUAGCCUAAAAGCUCAAAUUUGGCGAUGCCGAGGCACGAAAAAUUCAUGAGCAGCAGCAAACAAGAAGGGAAAACAAACCAAUGAUAA